Molecule: small nucleolar RNA, 82 nt
Filed under: Macaca fascicularis (crab-eating macaque)
Lineage: Eukaryota; Metazoa; Chordata; Mammalia; Primates; Cercopithecidae
Description: Small nucleolar RNA SNORD115 (ENSMFAG00000053012.1)
Rfam family: Small nucleolar RNA SNORD115
About the family: HBII-52 is a member of the C/D class of snoRNAs, which contain the C (UGAUGA) and D (CUGA) box motifs.
Source: Rfam by way of RNAcentral
GGGUCGAUGAUGAGAACCUUUUAUUAUCCUGAAGAGAGGUUAUGACUUAAAAUUCAUGCUCAAUAGGAUUACACUGAGGCUC